CCUACGGGAGGCAGCAGUGGGGAAUAUUGGACAAUGGGCGGAAGCCUGAUCCAGCAACGCCGCGUGAGGGAUGACGGCCUUCGGGUUGUAAACCUCUUUCAGUACCGACGAAGCGCAAGUGACGGUAGGUACAGAAGAAGCACCGGCCAACUACGUGCCAGCAGCCGCGGUAAUACGUAGGGUGCGAGCGUUGUCCGGAAUUAUUGGGCGUAAAGGGCUCGUAGGCGGUUUGUCGCGUCGGGAGUGAAAACGCCGUGCUUAACACGGCGCUUGCUUUCGAUACGGGCAGACUAGAGGUAUGCAGGGGAGAACGGAAUUCCUGGUGUAGCGGUGAAAUGCGCAGAUAUCAGGAGGAACACCGGUGGCGAAGGCGGUUCUCUGGGCAUUACCUGACGCUGAGGAGCGAAAGUGUGGGGAGCGAACAGGAUUAGAUACCCUGGUAGUCCACACCGUAAACGUUGGGCGCUAGGUGUGGGAUCCAUUCCACGGGUUCCGUGCCGCAGCUAACGCAUUAAGCGCCCCGCCUGGGGAGUACGGCCGCAAGGCUAAAACUCAAAUGAAUUGACGG
RNAcentral lists this ribosomal RNA (568 nucleotides) under uncultured bacterium. RNAcentral's name for it is "bacterial SSU rRNA". It matches the Rfam family "Bacterial small subunit ribosomal RNA", at positions 338 to 916 of the family's 1533-position model. The record is from RNAcentral.